UACGGAGGGUGCAAGCGUUAUCCGGAUUCACUGGGUUUAAAGGGUGCGUAGGUGGGCUGGUAAGUCAGUGGUGAAAUCCCCGAGCUUAACUUGGGAACUGCCAUUGAUACUAUCAGUCUUGAAUACCGUGGAGGUCAGCGGAAUAUGUCAUGUAGCGGUGAAAUGCUUAGAUAUGACAUAGAACACCAAUUGCGAAGGCAGCUGGCUACACGAAUAUUGACACUGAGGCACGAAAGCGUGGGGAUCAAACAGG
RNAcentral lists this ribosomal RNA (253 nucleotides) under uncultured bacterium. RNAcentral describes it as "partial 16S ribosomal RNA". It matches the Rfam family "Bacterial small subunit ribosomal RNA", at positions 524 to 776 of the family's 1533-position model. The record is from RNAcentral.